GAUGAACGCUGGCGGCGUGCCUAAUACAUGCAAGUCGAGCGAACAGACGAGGAGCUUGCUCCUUCGACGUUAGCGGCGGACGGGUGAGUAACACGUAGGUAACCUACCUAUAAGACUGGGAUAACUUCGGGAAACCGGAGCUAAUACCGGAUAAUAUUUCGAACCGCAUGGUUCGAUAGUGAAAGAUGGCUUUGCUAUCACUUAAAGAUGGACCUGCGCCGUAUUAGCUAGUUGGUAAGGUAACGGCUUACCAAGGCAACGAUACGUAGCCGACCUGAGAGGGUGAUCGGCCACACUGGAACUGAGACACGGUCCAGACUCCUACGGGAGGCAGCAGUAGGGAAUCUUCCGCAAUGGGCGAAAGCCUGACGGAGCAACGCCGCGUGAGUGAUGAAGGUCUUCGGAUCGUAAAACUCUGUUAUUAGGGAAGAACAAACGUGUAAGUAACUGUGCACGUCUUGACGGUACCUAAUCAGAAAGCCACGGCUAACUACGUG
This 497-nucleotide ribosomal RNA is filed under the name uncultured bacterium. RNAcentral describes it as "partial 16S ribosomal RNA". It matches the Rfam family "Bacterial small subunit ribosomal RNA", at positions 28 to 507 of the family's 1533-position model. The record is from RNAcentral.